UGGUGACAGGUGAAAGGUGUCGCUAAAAAUAUCUUAAAGCUGACAGCAAAGUCAGGUUUAAGAUAUUGCACUUUAACAAUCCGGAACAAGCUGAAAAUUGAAAUGUUCAUUCUCCGUAAUCAGAAUGAAAUCACGAUAUGUUCGAGUCUCUCAAUGCCUGCAACCGACACACGUCUUUCGGGACGCUUGUGGGUUGUGAGGUUAAGCGACUAAGCGUACACGGUGGAUGCCCAGGCAGUCAGAGGCGAUGAAGGGCGUGCUAAUCUGCGAUAAGCGUCGGUAAGGUGAUAUGAACCGCAAUACCCGACGAUACCCGAAUGGGGAAACCCAGUGCAAUCGUUGCACUAUCAUGUCAUGAAUACAUAGUGGCAUGAGGCCGAACCGGGGGAACUGAAACAUCUAAGGUACC
This 409-nucleotide unclassified non-coding RNA is filed under the name Erwinia amylovora. RNAcentral describes it as "partial 16S/23S intergenic spacer". The stretch from base 200 to 409 matches the Rfam family "Bacterial large subunit ribosomal RNA", at positions 1 to 210 of the family's 2925-position model. Lineage: Bacteria; Pseudomonadati; Pseudomonadota; Gammaproteobacteria; Enterobacterales; Erwiniaceae. The record is from RNAcentral.